RNAcentral lists this long non-coding RNA (647 nucleotides) under Linum usitatissimum (flax). RNAcentral's name for it is "long non-coding RNA (LUSI_LNC007221)". Lineage: Eukaryota; Viridiplantae; Streptophyta; Magnoliopsida; Malpighiales; Linaceae. The record is from RNAcentral.
UGGCGCUACCGGGGAGGACGCACUUGGCAAGGUAAUGGGAGUCACGGGCGGAUCCGAUGACGGCGGAGGAGGAGGAAGAGGACCGGGAUUUGGCGUUGGAGCAUUCCUCCUCAGUAACCGCCAUGACGGUGCUCUGGCGCAACCCUCGGUGUGCUCUGCCGCAACCCUAGGUAGGGUUUGUUUGCAGGGGGGACAAUAAGAUUUGUUCAGAAGGAGCUAAGCAGGUGACAGUGUGAAACUGAAUUCGACCGAAGCUUAGACGAGUACAAAAGGUGUUUAGAUGAAAUUAACCAUGGCGGUUACGUGCUGCUUCGGGAAGUUAGCUGGGGAAGCAUCGCCAUGGAUGGACGGAUUAGAGGUUCGGUUCCGCAGUAAUUGCGUCGUUAAAAUCUUCGUCAGACAGAUUGACGGUAGCUGAAGAUCAGGGGAAAGUGCUCUCUCUCUCUCUCUCUCCCUCCCUAUCUCUCUCCAUUUUCCAACCCGCCACGUGCACAAAAUAAUUAGGUGAUUGUUUACCCAGGAAAAAAGUAAUGUACCAUACUACCCUUAGGCUUCUUCACAAAAUUGCCGUGGGACAUCGUCGCCUUGUAUCGUUCCUUCCUUCUCCGGCCAAGUCGUCGGAGUCAGUGUAUAAUUAGGAUUCUCUU